CCUACGGGUGGCAGCAGUGGGGAAUAUUGGACAAUGGGCGAAAGCCUGAUCCAGCCAUGCCGCGUGUGUGAAGAAGGCCUUCGGGUUGUAAAGCACUUUCAGUGGGGAAGAAAGCCUUGGGGCUAAUACCCUCGAGGAAGGACAUCACCCACAGAAGAAGCACCGGCUAACUCCGUGCCAGCAGCCGCGGUAAUACGGAGGGUGCGAGCGUUAAUCGGAAUUACUGGGCGUAAAGCGCGCGUAGGCGGUCUGAUAAGCCGGUUGUGAAAGCCCCGGGCUCAACCUGGGAACGGCAUCCGGAACUGUCAGGCUAGAGUGCAGGAGAGGAAGGUAGAAUUCCCGGUGUAGCGGUGAAAUGCGUAGAGAUCGGGAGGAAUACCAGUGGCGAAGGCGGCCUUCUGGACUGACACUGACGCUGAGGUGCGAAAGCGUGGGUAGCAAACGGGAUUAGAUACCGGGUAGUC
This 464-nucleotide ribosomal RNA is filed under the name Vreelandella stevensii. RNAcentral's name for it is "partial 16S ribosomal RNA". It matches the Rfam family "Bacterial small subunit ribosomal RNA", at positions 338 to 795 of the family's 1533-position model. Lineage: Bacteria; Pseudomonadati; Pseudomonadota; Gammaproteobacteria; Oceanospirillales; Halomonadaceae. The record is from RNAcentral.